CUUGGCACUGGUAGAAUUCACUGCUAAAAAAUACUCCAGUGAUUCACCGGUUCCAAACU
Molecule: microRNA precursor, 59 nt
Filed under: Lottia gigantea (owl limpet)
Lineage: Eukaryota; Metazoa; Mollusca; Gastropoda; Lottiidae
Description: Lgi-Mir-96-P2_pre stem-loop
Source: RNAcentral